This 74-nucleotide transfer RNA is filed under the name Candidatus Bathyarchaeota archaeon. RNAcentral describes it as "tRNA-Arg". It matches the Rfam family "tRNA". Rfam says of the family: Transfer RNA (tRNA) molecules are approximately 80 nucleotides in length. Their secondary structure includes four short double-helical elements and three loops (D, anti-codon, and T loops). Further hydrogen bonds mediate the characteristic L-shaped molecular structure. tRNAs have two regions of fundamental functional importance: the anti-codon, which is responsible for specific mRNA codon recognition, and the 3' end, to which the tRNAs corresponding amino acid is attached (by aminoacyl-tRNA synthetases). tRNAs cope with the degeneracy of the genetic code in two manners: having more than one tRNA (with a specific anti-codon) for a particular amino acid; and 'wobble' base-pairing, i.e. permitting non-standard base-pairing at the 3rd anti-codon position. Lineage: Archaea; Thermoproteati; Candidatus Bathyarchaeota. RNAcentral also lists the same sequence under 1 other name. The record is from RNAcentral.
GGGCCCGUUGCCCAGCAGGAUAGGGCGCAGGCCUCCUAAGCCUGAGGUCGUGGGUUCGAAUCCCACCGGGCCCG